RNAcentral lists this RNase P RNA (397 nucleotides) under Spirochaetaceae bacterium. RNAcentral describes it as "RNase P RNA component class A". It matches the Rfam family "Bacterial RNase P class A". Rfam says of the family: Ribonuclease P (RNase P) is a ubiquitous endoribonuclease, found in archaea, bacteria and eukarya as well as chloroplasts and mitochondria. Its best characterised activity is the generation of mature 5'-ends of tRNAs by cleaving the 5'-leader elements of precursor-tRNAs. The record is from RNAcentral. Lineage: Bacteria; Pseudomonadati; Spirochaetota; Spirochaetia; Spirochaetales; Spirochaetaceae.
UGCAGAAGACGGUGACCGCUGGGAAUCUUUUUUAUAAACAGGUUUUCAGAGGAAAGUCCGGGCUCCUUCGGAAAAGAUGCCGGUUAACCACCGGGCACAAAAUCUGGAAACAGAGUUUGUGACAGAUAGCGCAACAGAAAAUAUACCGCUUCUUUUUUAGAAGUAAGGGUGAAAAGGCGGGGUAAAAGCCCACCGGGCAUACGGUAACGAAUGUCGCAUUGCAAGCCUCAUCUGGAGCAAGGUCAAGCAGUGGUUGCAAUUCCGAUAUGGAAGUUUUUUCUUCCACAACCACGGGUAGAUCGCUUGAAGUACAGGGAAAUCUGUACUCUAGAUAGAUGGUCACGCCAAAAGUUUUUACUUUUGGUUACAGAACCCGGCUUAUUGUCUUCUGCUUUUU